CCUACGGGUGGCUGUAGUGAGGAAUAUUGGUCAAUGGUCGGGAGGCUGAACCAGCCAAGCCGCGUGAGGGAGGAAGGUACAGAGUAUCGUAAACCUCUUUUGUCAGGGGACAAAGGCGUGGACGUGUCCCCGGAUGAGUGUACCUGAAGAAAAAGCAUCGGCUAACUCCGUGCCAGCGGCCGCGGUAAUACGGAGGAUCCGGGCGUUAUCCGGAUUUAUUGGGUUUAAAGGGGGCGCAGGCGGUCUGUUAAGUCAGCGGUCAAAGCCCGGGGCUCAACCCCGGCCCGCCGUUGAAACUGGCAGUCUUGAGUUGGAGAGAAGUAUGCGGAAGGCGUGGUGUAGCGGUGAAAUGCAUAGAUAUCGCGAAGAACUCCGAUUGCGAAGGCAGCAUGCCGGCUCCACACUGACGCUGAGGCACGAAAGCGUGGGUAUCGAACAGGAUUAGAUACCCGGGUAGUC
Molecule: ribosomal RNA, 459 nt
Filed under: uncultured bacterium
Lineage: Bacteria
Description: partial 16S ribosomal RNA
Rfam family: Bacterial small subunit ribosomal RNA
Source: RNAcentral